This 199-nucleotide non-coding RNA is filed under the name Pelodiscus sinensis (Chinese soft-shelled turtle). Its description in RNAcentral is "Connexin-43 internal ribosome entry site (IRES)". It matches the Rfam family "Connexin-43 internal ribosome entry site (IRES)". From Rfam's summary of the family: This family represents the connexin-43 internal ribosome entry site (IRES) which allows cap independent translation during conditions such as heat shock and stress. The record is from Rfam by way of RNAcentral. Lineage: Eukaryota; Metazoa; Chordata; Testudines; Trionychidae.
ACUUUUUACAAGGUAUCAGCACUUUUCUUUCAUUAGUGGGCAAGGAAGGAUGAAAACUACAAAACAGCAGUAGACUUUUAAAGUUUAAAUAGACAGGUCGAAAGCCUGAACUUGCUUUUCCAUUUUAGCUUGUUCUUCCAAAGAGGCACUUGUUUGCUUGCUUCACUGAUCAUCAGCAAGGGUAAGUUGGAAAGUUUUU